Molecule: ribosomal RNA, 253 nt
Filed under: uncultured bacterium
Lineage: Bacteria
Description: partial 16S ribosomal RNA
Rfam family: Archaeal small subunit ribosomal RNA
Source: RNAcentral
UACCAGCACCCCGAGUGGUCGGGGCGAUUAUUGGGCCUAAAGCAUCCGUAGCCGGUUUUACAAGUCCUCCGUUAAAUCCAGCUGCUUAACAGAUGGGCUGCGGAGGAUACUAUAAGACUAGGAGGCAGGAGAGGCAAGCGGUACUCAGUGGGUAGGGGUAAAAUCCGUUGAUCCAAUGAAGACCACCAGUGGCGAAGGCGGCUUGCCAGAAUGCGCUCGACGGUGAGGGAUGAAAGCUGGGGGAGCAAACCGG